Molecule: ribosomal RNA, 303 nt
Filed under: uncultured bacterium
Lineage: Bacteria
Description: partial 16S ribosomal RNA
Rfam family: Bacterial small subunit ribosomal RNA
Source: RNAcentral
AGCAGUAGCCGCGGUAAUACGUAGGGUGCAAGCGUUAAUCGGAAUUACUGGGCGUAAAGCGUGCGCAGGCGGUCUGACAAGUCAGAUGUGAAAUCCCCGGGCUUAACCUGGGAACUGCAUUUGAAACUGUCAGGCUGGAGUCUUGUAGAGGGGGGUAGAAUUCCAGGUGUAGCGGUGAAAUGCGUAGAGAUCUGGAGGAAUACCGGUGGCGAAGGCGGCCCCCUGGACAAAGACUGACGCUCAGGUGCGAAAGCGUGGGGAGCAAACAGGAUUAGAUACCCCGGUAGUCCCUGUCUCUUAUAC